This 72-nucleotide transfer RNA is filed under the name Sarothrura ayresi (White-winged flufftail). RNAcentral describes it as "tRNA-Glu". The record is from RNAcentral. Lineage: Eukaryota; Metazoa; Chordata; Aves; Gruiformes; Rallidae.
GUUCUUAUAGUUGAAAAAUUGCAACGGUGGUUUUUCAGGCCACAGGUCUUGGAGAGAAACCAAGUGAGAAUA